GGCUCAGGAUGAACGCUAGCGGCAGGACUUAAUACAUGCAAGUCGUGGGGCAGCAUGAGUAGCAAUACUUGAUGGCGACCGGCAAACGGGUGAGGAACACGUACACAACCUUCCUUCAAGCGGGGAAUAGCCCAGUGAAAUUUGGAUUAAUACCCCAUAAUAUAUUUGAUAAGGCAUCUUAUUAAUAUUAAAGCUUCGGCACUUGAUGAUGGGUGUGCGGCUGAUUAGAUAGUUGGCGGGGUAACGGCCCACCAAGUCUACGAUCAGUAGCUGAUGUGAGAGCAUGAUCAGCCACACGGGCACUGAGACACGGGCCCGACUCCUACGGGAGGCAGCAGUAAGGAAUAUUGGACAAUGGACGAAAGUCUGAUCCAGCCAUGCCGCGUGAAGGAUUAAGGUCCUCUGGAUUGUAAACUUCUUUUAUAUGGGACGAAAAAAGGGCAUUCUUGUUCACUUGACGGUACCAUAUGAAUAAGCACCGGCUAACUCCGUG
This 493-nucleotide ribosomal RNA is filed under the name uncultured bacterium. RNAcentral's name for it is "bacterial SSU rRNA". It matches the Rfam family "Bacterial small subunit ribosomal RNA", at positions 21 to 507 of the family's 1533-position model. The record is from RNAcentral.